GCCCUACUAGUGCAGUGGUAAGCACACCUGACAGCUUGUCUUUCCGGUUCCCUGGGCACUAUCUUUGUGUUGGGAAUAAAUCCGAUGUGAUCAUUAGGUUCUCUUGGUUCGAUUCCGAGGUAGGGUU
Xylariaceae sp. AK1471 is the source of this 127-nucleotide non-coding RNA. The record is from the annotation of a GenBank genome assembly. Lineage: Eukaryota; Fungi; Ascomycota; Sordariomycetes; Xylariales; Xylariaceae.